GACGAACGCUGGCGGCGUGCUUAACACAUGCAAGUCGAACGGAAAGGCCCUGCUUGCAGGGUACUCGAGUGGCGAACGGGUGAGUAACUCGUGGGUGAUCUGCCCUGCACUUCGGGAUAAGCCUGGGAAACUGGGUCUAAUACCGGAUAGGAGCCAUUUUUAGCGUGAUGGUUGGAAAGUUUGUUCGGUGUAGGAUGAGCUCGCGGCCUAUCAGCUUGUUGGUGGGGUAAUGGCCUACCAAGGCGGCGACGGGUAGCCGGCCUGAGAGGGUGGACGGCCACAUUGGGACUGAGAUACGGCCCAGACUCCUACGGGAGGCAGCAGUGGGGAAUAUUGCACAAUGGGCGCAAGCCUGAUGCAGCGACGCCGCGUGGGGGAUGACGGCCUUCGGGUUGUAAACUCCUUUCGCUAGGGACGAAGCUUUUGUGACGGUACCUAGAUAAGAAGCACCGGCUAACUACGUG
Molecule: ribosomal RNA, 464 nt
Filed under: uncultured bacterium
Lineage: Bacteria
Description: partial 16S ribosomal RNA
Rfam family: Bacterial small subunit ribosomal RNA
Source: RNAcentral